RNAcentral lists this ribosomal RNA (528 nucleotides) under uncultured bacterium. RNAcentral's name for it is "bacterial SSU rRNA". It matches the Rfam family "Bacterial small subunit ribosomal RNA", at positions 71 to 576 of the family's 1533-position model. The record is from RNAcentral.
AAAGGGGCUUCGGCUCCGAGUAAAGCGGCGGACGGGUGCGUAACACGUGGAUAAUCUGCCUCGUGCGGGGGACAACAGUCCGAAAGGACUGCUAAUACCGCAUGUCAGGUCGGAAACUCCGGUUUCUGACGAAAAAGAGGGCGCCCGCAAGGGGCUCUCACCACGAGAUGAGUCCGCGUCCCAUCAGCUAGUUGGCGGUGUAAUAGACCACCAAGGCUUAGACGGGUAGCUGGUCUGAGAGGAUGACCAGCCACACUGGGACUGAGACACGGCCCCAGACUCCUACGGGAGGCAGCAGUGGGGAAUAUUGGACAAUGGGCGAAAGCCUGAUCCAGCCAUGCCGCGUGAGUGAUGAAGGCCUUCGGGUCGUAAAAGCUCUGUGGGGAGGGACGAAAAAGCGUGACCUAACUACGUCUCGCCUUGACGGUACCUCCUUAGCAAGCACCGGCUAACUCCGUGCCAGCAGCCGCGGUAAUACGGAGGGUGCAAACGUUGCUCGGAAUUAUUGGGCGUAAAGCGCACGUAGGC